AACGAACGCUGGCGGCAUGCCUAACACAUGCAAGUCGAACGAGACCUUCGGGUCUAGUGGCGCACGGGUGCGUAACGCGUGGGAACCUGCCCUUAGGUUCGGAAUAACUCCCCGAAAGGGGUGCUAAUACCGGAUAAUGUCUUCGGACCAAAGAUUUAUGGCCUUUGGAUGGGCCCGCGUUGGAUUAGCUAGUUGGUAGGGUAAAAGCCUACCAAGGCGACGAUCCAUAGCUGGUCUGAGAGGAUGAUCAGCCACACUGGGACUGAGACACGGCCCAGACUCCUACGGGAGGCAGGAGUGGGGAAUAUUGGACAAUGGGCGAAAGCCUGAGCCAGCAAUGCCGCGUGAGUGAUGAAGGCCUUAGGGUUGUAAAGCUCUUUUACCCGGGAUGAUAAUGACAGUACCGGGAGAAUAAGCGCCGGCUAACUCCGUG
Molecule: ribosomal RNA, 433 nt
Filed under: uncultured bacterium
Lineage: Bacteria
Description: partial 16S ribosomal RNA
Rfam family: Bacterial small subunit ribosomal RNA
Source: RNAcentral